RNAcentral lists this long non-coding RNA (1008 nucleotides) under Nicotiana benthamiana. RNAcentral's name for it is "long non-coding RNA (NBEN_LNC024946)". Lineage: Eukaryota; Viridiplantae; Streptophyta; Magnoliopsida; Solanales; Solanaceae. The record is from RNAcentral.
UUCUCUUCUAUUCCUUCUUUUCGUCGGCGGAAUUUGUGGAGUAGAUUUGGUUUACCUCUCUUUCCAUUUUCUUUUCUUUUUUAAAUUGCUUAUCGACCCGCCGUCCGGCGGGCACCAGCAGUGUGAAUAUGAUCAUCUCUUUUCUUAAAGCCACAACAAGAACACGCAUAUAUGACACGCUUGCUCUUGGAAGGUAACAACACGCACUCUUUGCCGAAUUAGAAUAACUAGAUCUCAAAACCCAGAUAAAAAGAUCCAAUCUUUUUCUCAUUCCAAGAUUCAAUGCUGCAAAUCCAAACCCCACAACCCAUUUUCACAGUGCUAAUCCCCACAAGAUGCUCAUAAUGUACCAACAUAUAUAAACAUAUACUUAUAUACAAAGCACAACAAAUGCAGUUUGCUACUGAUUGCUACUAUGCUAGUAUAAACUUACCCAACAACCAUUAAAAGAUCACAAGUCCAUUAAAUCCAAGGGAGCUGAGAGAAUCUUGGGAAAGAAAGUGAAACACUUGCUAAACAAACAAGAAUCUGAAACUUUGUAGUAAUAAUUUAUGAAAAUGUAACUGCUCUAAAAAUGUUUUAUUUUAGUUUUCUUGAAUUUUGGAAGUGAAAAGUUGUGAACUUUGAAAGGGGUUGCACUAUUUCUUCAGAUUAAUUAUGACUUCGUUUCAACUCAAAAAAUAGAGAGGGGGGAAGGUUUCUGCUCUCGUAUGUGUUGUGUGGGGGGUGGGGGGAUGGUUUUUCAAUAUAAUUUAAUAGUUUCUUCUACCAAUGUGACAGAAGUAUUAAAAUCUCCGGUUAAGGGUCAAAAUAGCCCUUAACCUAUCAGACUCCGGAACAAAAUUGCCAUCCGUUUACCUUUGGCGAAGAAAAUGUCCCCACCGUUAACUUUGUGGCCUAUUUCUACCCCUAAAAUCUAACAAAAUCUUGAAUUUCAUUUUUAAUUUUUUUUAAUGCCACGUGUCACGUUUUGAUUGGGACAUAUAAAGAACGGAAAAUUGGGACAUA